Molecule: long non-coding RNA, 425 nt
Organism: Hippoglossus stenolepis (Pacific halibut)
Lineage: Eukaryota; Metazoa; Chordata; Actinopteri; Pleuronectiformes; Pleuronectidae
Exons: 3
Source: RefSeq, a predicted model, not a curated record
AUCAAGAAAGGACCAAUUUGGGACUUUGAUGUUGAAAUCCAUUCAAAGACAGGAAGUUGCAUCAUAGACCAUUUUGCCAAGGACCCAUGGAAGCAGCAACAGAUGCCACUUCCAAGCAAAAUAAAAACCGCUCGCCAUAUGCAGCGUGUUAAUUCCGACCCUGUAGCAAGAGCGGAGAACCUUGCUCAGAGAAGAGAAAGCUACGAGAGAAAUAAACAGCAGGGAGAGAUUCCAUAUGCCAAGUCAAGUGAGUUGACAGAGAGAGAGAAAAGGAAUCAGAGAGAGAACUGGAGGGCUGCAUCCAGAGCUUACAGAGAAAGUAAAAAUAUGGCAAACGCUGUGUUAGACCUUACGCCGCCAUCUAUGGAGAACAUUCCACCAGUUCUGGUUGAUGUACACAAGAGCAGCCAGUUUAAUGAAAUGUU